Molecule: ribosomal RNA, 868 nt
Filed under: uncultured archaeon
Lineage: Archaea
Description: bacterial SSU rRNA
Rfam family: Archaeal small subunit ribosomal RNA
Source: RNAcentral
CUCCGGUGAUCCUGCCGGACCUGACUGCUAUCGGAUUGGUACUAAGCCAUGCGAGUCGUUGUAGCAAUACAAGGCGGACGGCUCAGUAACACGUAGUCAACCUAACCUAUGGACGUGGAUAACCUCGGGAAACUGAGAAUAAACCGCGAUAGAUCAUUAUGCCUGGAAUGGCUUAUGGUUCAAACAAUUUAUUGCCGUAGGAUGGGACUGCGGCCUAUCAGCUUGUUGGUGAGGUAAUGGCCCACCAAGGCUAUAACAGGUACGGGCUCUGAGAGGAGAAGCCCGGAGAUGGGUACUGAGACACGGACCCAGGCCCUAUGGGGCGCAGCAGGCGAGAAACCUUAGCAAUGUGCGAAAGCACGACUAGGUUAAUCCGAGUGAUUUCUGUUGAAGAAAUCUUUUGUCAGUCGUAAAACCACAGACGAAUAAGGGGUGGGCAAGUCUGGUGUCAGCCGCCGCGGUAAUACCAGCACCCCGAGUGGUCGGGACGAUUAUUGGGCCUAAAGCAUCCGUAGCCGGUUCUGCAAGUCUUCCGUUAAAUCCAGCCGCUCAACGGAUGGGCCGCGGAGGAUACUACAGGACUAGGAGGCGGGAGAGGCAAGCGGUACUCAGUGGGUAGGGGUAAAAUCCUUUGAUCCAUUGAAGACCACCAGUGGCGAAGGCGGCUUGCCAGAACGCGCUCGACGGUGAGGGAUGAAAGCUGGGGGAGCAAACCGGAUUAGAUACCCGGGUAGUCCCAGCUGUAAACGAUGCAGACUCGGUGAUGGGCUAGCCUUGUGCCAGCCCAGUGCCGCAGGGAAGCCGUUAAGUCUGCCGCCUGGGGAGUACGGUCGCAAGACUGAAACUUAAAGGAAUUGGCGGGGGAGCA